Triticum aestivum (bread wheat) is the source of this 644-nucleotide long non-coding RNA. RefSeq lists it as uncharacterized. The transcript has 2 exons. NCBI's taxonomy places the organism in Eukaryota, Viridiplantae, Streptophyta, Magnoliopsida, Poales, Poaceae. The record is from RefSeq and is a predicted model, not a curated record.
UCUCGGGCUCCACAUCCAUCUAGUUCCAGCACGGGCUCCUCUUCGGCGAUCCAGAUCAAACGAUGGUGGGUGGGAUCCACGAUUGAUUCUCCUCCUCGUAGGCAGCACACAGCCGCCGGAGAAGCCCGUGGUGAACGAUGUCACGCCGACCUCCUCGUGGCCAUCCCCAACCUCUCAUAGGGUUGCAAGUCGUUCAUUCAGGAAGACCUCCUCAACAAUUACACUGAGCAGAUGGUCAACUACUGCAGAAUGGCUAUGGACAGUUGUCACGAAGAUGCAUUGGCUACUGCCUACUGCGGCCUUGUUUUGAAGGAGAAGGAUCAACAAAUAUCAGAAUUAGAGACCAAACUAUACUCUCUAGCGUCAGAGCUGCAUACUUCAGGGGAGAAGGACACGUCGAAUAAGAUAAUGCUCGCCAAGAAAUUACAAGAAGGGAGAUACAGAUGUAUUAUAUACUUAAUACUUUUUUGGUUCGUCAUGAUCAUAUAUGUUGCUAGAAUUUUAAUCCCCACUUUGUAAGACUAGAUGUCAGCUAGAGAAUUUUUUUGUGGGCCUGAGAUCAUUCAUUGUUGAACUAAAUGAACGUAUUGGAUCUUGGCGGUUUUCUUGCUCUUACUGAUUCAUAAUGCGCCGAUGGUCCAAGA